Molecule: long non-coding RNA, 220 nt
Filed under: Lathyrus oleraceus (garden pea)
Lineage: Eukaryota; Viridiplantae; Streptophyta; Magnoliopsida; Fabales; Fabaceae
Description: Pisum sativum (pea) long non-coding RNA (PSAT_LNC018052)
Source: RNAcentral
UGGAACGGAGUUCCAACUUCAUCCUCAGCAUCUAUAUAAGAGAAGGAAUACAAAUGGCUUACCAUGAGAGCCUUUUCUCCCCCUACCACCACCCGCUUCUUAUUCUUUACAAACUUCAGUUUCUGGUGUAGGGUGGAUGUCACGACGCCAGCCUCGUGAAUCCAUGGUCUGCCUAGGAGACAACUAUACGAUGGGUGAAUGUCCAUAACCUAGAAGGUAA